RNAcentral lists this ribosomal RNA (292 nucleotides) under uncultured bacterium. RNAcentral's name for it is "partial 16S ribosomal RNA". It matches the Rfam family "Bacterial small subunit ribosomal RNA", at positions 505 to 796 of the family's 1533-position model. The record is from RNAcentral.
GUGUCAGCAGCCGCGGUAAGACGAACCGUGCGAACGUUGUUCGGAUUCACUGGGCUUAAAGGGCGCGUAGGCGGGUCCGCCAGUCCGGGGUGAAAGCCCCCGGCUCAACCGGGGAAUGGCCUGGGAUACUGCGGACCUCGAGGGAGGUAGGGGCGAUCGGAACUUCCGGUGGAGCGGUGAAAUGCGUAGAGAUCGGAAGGAACGCCGGUGGCGAAAGCGGAUCGCUGGGCCUCUUCUGACGCUGAGGCGCGAAAGCCAGGGGAGCGAACGGGAUUAGAAACCCGAGUAGUCC